UACAGAGGUCCCAAGCGUUGUUCGGAUUCACUGGGCGUAAAGGGUGCGUAGGUGGCGAGGUAAGUCGGAUGUGAAAGCUCGGAGCUCAACUCCGAAAUGGCAUUGGAAACUACCUUGCUCGAGGGUUGGAGGGGGGACUGGAAUUCUCGGUGUAGCAGUGAAAUGCGUAGAUAUCGAGAGGAACACCAGUGGCGAAGGCGAGUCCCUGGACAACACCUGACACUGAGGCACGAAAGCUAGGGGAGCAAACAGG
RNAcentral lists this ribosomal RNA (253 nucleotides) under uncultured bacterium. Its description in RNAcentral is "partial 16S ribosomal RNA". It matches the Rfam family "Bacterial small subunit ribosomal RNA", at positions 524 to 776 of the family's 1533-position model. The record is from RNAcentral.